This is a non-coding RNA of Thunnus maccoyii (southern bluefin tuna), 636 nucleotides long. NCBI's taxonomy places the organism in Eukaryota, Metazoa, Chordata, Actinopteri, Scombriformes, Scombridae. The record is from the annotation of a RefSeq genome assembly.
CAGUCUCCUGGAUCUCAGUCUGUUGUUCCAGGACAGACUGUCUCCAUCACAUGUAAAACCAGUAGAUAUGCUUAUAGCAACCUCGGCUGGUACCUUCAGAAACCUGGAGAAGCUCCUAAACUCCUGAUUUAUGAUGCUACAGACCUUCAGCCUGGAGUUUCAGAUCGUUUUUCAGGCAGUGGAUCUGGGACUGACUUCACUCUGACCAUCAGUGGAGUUCAGGCUGAAGAUUCUGGGGUUUAUUACUGUCAGAGUGCACAUAUGACUUUGAUCUCCGUCCUCAUCUGGACUCUCCUCUGCUGCUGCUUCACAGAGUCCAGAGGCCAGGUCACAGUGACUCAGCCUGCAGCAGUGAGAUCUGCUCUGGGAGGCUCCACAACCAUCGGCUGUAGGACCAGUCAGAAUGUUUUUGUUUCUAAUCGCUUAGCCUGGUACCAACAGAAAGAUGGAGAAGCUCCUAAACUUCUCAUUUACCGUGCUACCACUCGAGCAUCAGGGAUUCCAGAUCGUUUUUCAGGCAGUGGAUCAAAAACUGACUUCACUCUGACCAUCAGUGGAGUUCAGGCUGAAGAUGCAGCAGUUUACUACUGUCAGAGUUUUCACUCUAUCAACAGUCAGUGGGUGUUCACACAGUGA